UAUUUGCUAGCAGUGGGUUUGAGCUGUUAUAAAUGGUAUCAAAGCCAAACAUCAGGCCGUGUGCUAGCAAGGAUGUUGGCCCCCAAGAGGGUAGAUUUUGAGAUCCCACAUUGGUUGGAGAGGGGAAUGAAACAUUUUUUUAUAAGGGUAUGGAAAUCUUACCCUAGUAGAUAUGUUUUAAAACCCUGAGGCUGACAGUGAUAUGUAACGGACUAAAGCGGACAAUA
Cucurbita maxima (winter squash) is the source of this 227-nucleotide long non-coding RNA. RefSeq lists it as uncharacterized. The record is from RefSeq and is a predicted model, not a curated record. The transcript has 2 exons. NCBI's taxonomy places the organism in Eukaryota, Viridiplantae, Streptophyta, Magnoliopsida, Cucurbitales, Cucurbitaceae.